Molecule: ribosomal RNA, 1443 nt
Filed under: Microbacterium sp.
Lineage: Bacteria; Bacillati; Actinomycetota; Actinomycetes; Micrococcales; Microbacteriaceae
Description: bacterial SSU rRNA
Rfam family: Bacterial small subunit ribosomal RNA
Source: RNAcentral
UGAAGAGCGGGGGGGCAUUCAAACACAUGCAGUCGACGGUGAACACGAGAGCUUGCUCUGUGGGAUCAGUGGCGAACGGGUGAGUAACACGUGAGCAACCUGCCCCUGACUCUGGGAUAAGCGCUGGAAACGGCGUCUAAUACUGGAUAUGUGACGUGACCGCAUGGUCUGCGUUUGGAAAGAUUUUUCGGUUGGGGAUGGGCUCGCGGCCUAUCAGCUUGUUGGUGAGGUAAUGGCUCACCAAGGNGUCGACGGGUAGCCGGCCUGAGAGGGUGACCGGCCACACUGGGACUGAGACACGGCCCAGACUCCUACGGGAGGCAGCAGUGGGGAAUAUUGCACAAUGGGCGGAAGCCUGAUGCAGCAACGCCGCGUGAGGGAUGACGGCCUUCGGGUUGUAAACCUCUUUUAGCAGGGAAGAAGCGAAAGUGACGGUACCUGCAGAAAAAGCGCCGGCUAACUACGUGCCAGCAGCCGCGGUAAUACGUAGGGCGCAAGCGUUAUCCGGAAUUAUUGGGCGUAAAGAGCUCGUAGGCGGUUUGUCGCGUCUGCUGUGAAAUCCCGAGGCUCAACCUCGGGCCUGCAGUGGGUACGGGCAGACUAGAGUGCGGUAGGGGAGAUUGGAAUUCCUGGUGUAGCGGUGGAAUGCGCAGAUAUCAGGAGGAACACCGAUGGCGAAGGCAGAUCUCUGGGCCGUAACUGACGCUGAGGAGCGAAAGGGUGGGGAGCAAACAGGCUUAGAUACCCUGGUAGUCCACCCCGUAAACGUUGGGAACUAGUUGUGGGGUCCAUUCCACGGAUUCCGUGACGCAGCUAACGCAUUAAGUUCCCCGCCUGGGGAGUACGGCCGCAAGGCUAAAACUCAAAGGAAUUGACGGGGACCCGCACAAGCGGCGGAGCAUGCGGAUUAAUUCGAUGCAACGCGAAGAACCUUACCAAGGCUUGACAUAUACGAGAACGGGCCAGAAAUGGUCAACUCUUUGGACACUCGUAAACAGGUGGUGCAUGGUUGUCGUCAGCUCGUGUCNUGAGAUGUUGGGUUAAGUCCCGCAACGAGCGCAACCCUCGUUCUAUGUUGCCAGCACGUAAUGGUGGGAACUCAUGGGAUACUGCCGGGGUCAACUCGGAGGAAGGUGGGGAUGACGUCAAAUCAUCAUGCCCCUUAUGUCUUGGGCUUCACGCAUGCUACAAUGGCCGGUACAAAGGGCUGCAAUACCGUGAGGUGGAGCGAAUCCCAAAAAGCCGGUCCCAGUUCGGAUUGAGGUCUGCAACUCGACCUCAUGAAGUCGGAGUCGCUAGUAAUCGCAGAUCAGCAACGCUGCGGUGAAUACGUUCCCGGGUCUUGUACACACCGCCCGUCAAGUCAUGAAAGUCGGUAACACCUGAAGCCGGUGAGCCUAACCCUUGUGGAGGGAGCUUUCGUUAUUUUGUUAUCAAAAGCUA